GACGAACGCUGGCGGCGUGCUUAACACAUGCAAGUCGAACGGAAAGGCCCUGCUUUUGUGGGAUGCUCGAUUGGCGAACGGGUGAGUAACACGUGAGUAACCUGCCCUUGACUUUGGGAUAACUUCAGGAAACUGGGGCUAAUACCGGAGAGGAGCUCCUGCUGCAUGGUGGUGGUUGGAAAGUUUCGGCGGUUGGGGAUGGACUCGCGGCUUAUCAGCUUGUUGGUGGGGUAGUGGCUUACCAAGGCUUUGACGGGUAGCCGGCCUGAGAGGGUGACCGGCCACCUUGGGACUGAGAUACGGACCAGACUCCUACGGGAGGCAGCAGUGGGGAAUAUUGCACAAUGGGCGGAAGCCUGAUGCAGCAACGCCGCGUGCGGGAUAACGGCCUUCGGGUUGUAAACCGCUUUCGCAUGUGACGAAGCGUGAGUGACGGUAAUGGGUAAAGAAGCACCGGCUAACUACGUG
RNAcentral lists this ribosomal RNA (468 nucleotides) under uncultured bacterium. Its description in RNAcentral is "partial 16S ribosomal RNA". It matches the Rfam family "Bacterial small subunit ribosomal RNA", at positions 28 to 507 of the family's 1533-position model. The record is from RNAcentral.